Molecule: ribosomal RNA, 921 nt
Filed under: uncultured bacterium
Lineage: Bacteria
Also listed under: 1 other name
Description: bacterial SSU rRNA
Rfam family: Bacterial small subunit ribosomal RNA
Source: RNAcentral
AGAGUUUGAUCAUGGCUCAGGGCUAACGCUGGCGGCGUGUCUUAGCCAUGCAAGUCGAGCGGUCCUAUGGGGCGACCUAUAGGAUAGCGGCGGACGGCGGAGUAACACGUAGCUAACCUACCCUCCGGACGGGGAUAACCAUUCGAAAGGGUGGCUAAUACCCGAUGGAGUCAUCCGCAAGGGUGAUGAAAGGUGGGCCUCUGUUUACAAGCUCAUGCCGGGGGAGGGGGCUGCGGCCUAUCAGGUAGUUGGUGGGGUAAAGGCCCACCAAGCCUAUGACGGGUAGCCGGCCUGAGAGGGUGACCGGCCCGAGGGACACUGAGACACGGGUCCCACUCCUACGGGAGGCAGCAGGCUAGAAAUUUGGGCAAUGGGGGAAACCCUGACCCAGUGACGCCGCGUGCAGGAAGGAGCCCUUCGGGGUGUAAACUGCUGUCGUGCGGGGCGAAGGGUUUAUAGGCGAAUAGUCUAUAGACUUGACGGUACCGCAGGAGGAAGCCCAGGCUAACCUCGUGCCAGCAGCCGCGGUAAUACGGGGUGGGCGAGCGUUGCCCGGAAUUACUGGGUUUAAAGGGGGUGUAGGCGGUCUGGAUAGUCAGGUGUGUAAUCCAAUCGCUCAACGAUUGGACUGCAUCUGAUACUUUCAGGCUAGAGGGCGGUAGAGGAGAGCGGAACUCCCGGUGUAGCGGUGAAAUGCGUAGAUAUCGGGAGGAACGCCGGUGGCGAAGGCGGCUCUCUGGGCCGUUCCUGACGCUGAGGCCCGAAAGCUGGGGGAGCGAAAGGGAUUAGAUACCCCUGUAGUCCCAGCCGUAAACGAUGGGCACUAGGUGUGCCUCUAUAUAGGGGUGUGCCGACGGGAAACCAUUAAGUGCCCCACCUGGGGAGUACGCCCGCAAGGGUGAAACUCAAAUGAAUUGACGG